GACGAACGCUGGCGGCGUGCUUAACACAUGCAAGUCGAACGGAAAGGCCCUGCUUUUGUGGGGUGCUCGAGUGGCGAACGGGUGAGUAACACGUGAGUAACCUGCCCUUGACUUUGGGAUAACUUCAGGAAACUGGGGCUAAUACCGGAUAGGAGCUCCUGCUGCAUGGUGGGGGUUGGAAAGUUUCGGCGGUUGGGGAUGGACUCGCGGCUUAUCAGCUUGUUGGUGGGGUAGUGGCUUACCAAGGCUUUGACGGGUAGCCGGCCUGAGAGGGUGACCGGCGGCAUUGGGACAGAGAGAGGCCCGAGAGCCCGCCGGGGGGCGGCGGGGGGAGAUGUGGCGGAAGGGGCGCGCGUGGGAUCCGGCAUCCCCGGGUGCGGAAGGGGGGGCUCCGGGUUGUAGCCCGCUUCCGCCGGUAAAGAAGCGGGGGUGAGGGGAGUGGAUAAAAAAGCACCGGCUACCUGCACG
Molecule: ribosomal RNA, 468 nt
Filed under: uncultured bacterium
Lineage: Bacteria
Description: partial 16S ribosomal RNA
Rfam family: Bacterial small subunit ribosomal RNA
Source: RNAcentral